RNAcentral lists this ribosomal RNA (433 nucleotides) under uncultured bacterium. RNAcentral's name for it is "partial 16S ribosomal RNA". It matches the Rfam family "Bacterial small subunit ribosomal RNA", at positions 29 to 507 of the family's 1533-position model. The record is from RNAcentral.
AACGAACGCUGGCGGCAUGCCUAACACAUGCAAGUCGAACGAUGCUUUCGGGCCUAGUGGCGCACGGGUGCGUAACGCGUGGGAAUCUGCCCUUGGGUUCGGAAUAACAGUGAGAAAUUGCUGCUAAUACCGGAUGAUGUCUUCGGACCAAAGAUUUAUCGCCCAGGGAUGAGCCCGCGUAGGAUUAGCUAGUUGGUGGGGUAAUGGCCUACCAAGGCGACGAUCCUUAGCUGGUCUGAGAGGAUGAUCAGCCACACUGGGACUGAGACACGGCCCAGACUCCUACGGGAGGCAGCAGUGGGGAAUAUUGGACAAUGGGCGCAAGCCUGAUCCAGCAAUGCCGCGUGAGUGAUGAAGGCCUUAGGGUUGUAAAGCUCUUUUACCCGGGAUGAUAAUGACAGUACCGGGAGAAUAAGCUCCGGCUAACUCCGUG